AGGGCUGGAAAAGACAAAACAAUUGUGGUUAGACAAGAAACAGAAGGAUCUCUUAGCCCGUACAGAUGCUGGUGCUCGUUUGGGUUGCAGCACCAGAUGAUGUGGUAAUGUAUUCAUUAUUAAAGCAUCUUAUGAUUAUUAUGCAUAACAAAAUAACAUGAUCAACAAUUCAGGGAACAUGAGGACCUGAAACAGUGAUAAUUCUCAUGAUCUCAUGAUGAUGAAGUGUUUUUUCAUUCAGUGGUGGCAUUGUACAGACUUUGAACCAUUGUUUCGAAAGAAAGUCAUCAAUAGCCAUGAAAACACUGGUGCAGCUACUCAAACAAUCACCAGUAUCAGGCCAGGGAACUUGUAACGCUAGGCUUUUUCAGAAGCUUGGUGCAGCUAUUUUAUCGGAGAACGAAGAUGUGAUGUUGACACCAGCCUCACUUCACCUCGGCCAAGAGACCGAAGCAGCUAUAUGCCCCGGAGCAACAAGGUCUCUGUGCCAGAUAAACACCCCAACCUACUCUAGCGUCUGGCCUGCUUCAAGCCUGACAGGCCAGCAUGGGAGAAAACCCUCUUACUGGAACUCAAUAUUUUCAGACCCUUGAUAUGUACUAGCAACUUUUUGUGUCUUAUCAGAGGGCCUGGAGAAGCAGGCAGCUGAUGAUUGACAGAAUCCACUGAAUGUAAAUGUGAUACACUGGUUUAACUGGGAGUGUGAAUCGGAAAGAUUAACCUUUCCAAGUUUCCUUUAUAAAACUUUGAUUAUAAAUGUAGAAAAUAUUUGUUCAGUUCU
Etheostoma spectabile (orangethroat darter) is the source of this 781-nucleotide long non-coding RNA. RefSeq lists it as uncharacterized. The transcript has 2 exons. Lineage: Eukaryota; Metazoa; Chordata; Actinopteri; Perciformes; Percidae. The record is from RefSeq and is a predicted model, not a curated record.